GUGUUAGCUUUGGAAAGACAUAUUAAACUGGAACAACAGACAGAAGAUUAGUGUUGCCUGUGUGCAAGGAUGACAUGCAAACUCAUGUAGAGUUCCAUAUUUUU
Molecule: small nuclear RNA, 104 nt
Organism: Cricetulus griseus (Chinese hamster)
Lineage: Eukaryota; Metazoa; Chordata; Mammalia; Rodentia; Cricetidae
Source: Ensembl